Molecule: ribosomal RNA, 483 nt
Filed under: uncultured bacterium
Lineage: Bacteria
Description: bacterial SSU rRNA
Rfam family: Bacterial small subunit ribosomal RNA
Source: RNAcentral
ACUGGCGGUAUGCCUUACACAUGCAAGUCGAACGGCAGCAUGGAAGAGCUUGCUCUUCUGAUGGCGAGUGGCGAACGGGUGAGUAAAGCAUCGGAACGUACCGUGUAGUGGGGGAUAACGUAGCGAAAGUUACGCUAAUACCGCAUACGCACUGAGGUGGAAAGCAGGGGAUCGCAAGACCUUGCGCUAUACGAGCGGCCGAUGUCAGAUUAGCUAGUUGGUAGGGUAAAGGCCUACCAAGGCGACGAUCUGUAGCGGGUCUGAGAGGAUGAUCCGCCACACUGGGACUGAGACACGGCCCAGACUCCUACGGGAGGCAGCGGUGGGGAAUUUUGGACAAUGGGCGAAAGCCUGAUCCAGCCAUGCCGCGUGAGUGAAGAAGGCCUUCGGGUUGUAAAGCUCUUUCGGCUGGGAAGAAAUCGCACAGGCUAAUACUCUGUGUGGAUGACGGUACCAGCACAAGAAGCACCGGCUAACUACGUG